This 301-nucleotide ribosomal RNA is filed under the name uncultured bacterium. RNAcentral describes it as "partial 16S ribosomal RNA". It matches the Rfam family "Bacterial small subunit ribosomal RNA", at positions 509 to 809 of the family's 1533-position model. The record is from RNAcentral.
CAGCCGCCGCGGGAAAACGGAGGGAGCUAGCGUUGUUCGGAAUUACUGGGCGUAAAGCGCGCGUAGGCGGUUACUCAAGUCAGAGGUGAAAGCCCGGGGCUCAACCCCGGAACUGCCUUUGAAACUAGGUGACUAGAAUCUUGGAGAGGUCAGUGGAAUUCCGAGUGUAGAGGUGAAAUUCGUAGAUAUUCGGAAGAACACCAGUGGCGAAGGCGACUGACUGGACAAGUAUUGACGCUGAGGUGCGAAAGCGUGGGGAGCAAACAGGAUUAGAUACCCGCGUAGUCCCUGUCUCUUAUAA